CUCGCACUUGCCUCAGGGACGAACCUACUCAGUGUUACCUGAACCCCGGUUCCGAGGCACAUGUGAGGAGCCUGACAAAUCAAGGUUUCCCAAGCACUCAGACAGACCUCGGAGCGUCUAGGUGACCGACAC
Molecule: long non-coding RNA, 132 nt
Organism: Haliotis rubra (blacklip abalone)
Lineage: Eukaryota; Metazoa; Mollusca; Gastropoda; Lepetellida; Haliotidae
Exons: 3
Source: RefSeq, a predicted model, not a curated record